This 263-nucleotide ribosomal RNA is filed under the name uncultured Streptococcus sp. Its description in RNAcentral is "partial 16S ribosomal RNA". It matches the Rfam family "Bacterial small subunit ribosomal RNA", at positions 1117 to 1382 of the family's 1533-position model. The record is from RNAcentral. Lineage: Bacteria; Bacillati; Bacillota; Bacilli; Lactobacillales; Streptococcaceae.
GCCAUCAUUCAGUUGGGCACUCUAGCGAGACUGCCGGUAAUAAACCGGAGGAAGGUGGGAUGACGUCAAAUCAUCAUGCCCCUUAUGACCUGGGCUACACACGUGCUACAAUGGUUGGUACAACGAGUUGCGAGUCGGUGACGGCGAGCUAAUCUCUUAAAGCCAAUCUCAGUUCGGAUUGUAGGCUGCAACUCGCCUACAUGAAGUCGGAAUCGCUAGUAAUUGCGGAUCAGCACGCCGCGGUGAAUACGUUCCCGGGCCUU